CAGUCGCCGCGGUAAAACGAAGGGUGCAAGCGUUACUCGGAAUUACUGGGCGUAAAGCGUGCGUAGGUGGUGGUUUAAGUCCGUUGUGAAAGCCCUGGGCUCAACCUGGGAAUUGCAGUGGAUACUGGGUCACUAGAGUGUGGUAGAGGAUAGUGGAAUUUCCGGUGUAGCAGUGAAAUGCGUAGAGACCGGAAGGAACAUCUGUGGCGAAGGCGACUAUCUGGGCCAACACUGACACUGAGGCACGAAAGCGUGGGGAGCAAACAGGAUUAGAUACCCCCGUAGUCCCUGUCUCUUAUAC
Molecule: ribosomal RNA, 301 nt
Filed under: uncultured bacterium
Lineage: Bacteria
Description: partial 16S ribosomal RNA
Rfam family: Bacterial small subunit ribosomal RNA
Source: RNAcentral